GUAGGUCAGGCUCCGGCGAGUGACAGCGGAGGUCGGAGGUGUAUGCUGGGCAAGUGUAGACUGAAGCGCAAAGAGGAGAAAUUGAAGGGAUCUGACAUGCUUUGGUGAACCCUCAAUCAAAAUGGAAUAUUCAAAUCUCUCAUGGAAUCUUCCUUUUUAAUUGGAGCACCUCAGCCAUUCAUUGAAUAUGGGCCAAUUGAUCCCCAGAUGGACUAUCCCCUGUUUUUGGCGUACACAACAUCUUUGUUUGUAUGUGGUGCUAAGGAUUGAACCCGGGCCGCACGCAUGCCAGUUCUCGGCGGACACAACAUCUUUGUAUGUGGUGCUGAGGAUCGAACCUGGGCCGCACGCAUGCCAGGCGAGCGUGCUACCGCUUGAGCCACAUCUCCAGCCCCUAAAAGGUUGUUUUCUUAGUGGAAUGCUACAGGAUUUUCUUUAGCCAUCCGGAGUUCCUGCCCAGUGCCGGUGAAAACGAAAGUAGAAGAAUUUCCAGUGUUGCUGAGAACCGGACGAGACUUCGGAUCAAGCUAGCUGCCUGCAGAACUUACCUGGACUGUGAUUUACCUGGACUGUGAGUUAAUCUAUUGAGACACUGCUUUACCUGGACUGAGACAACAAACUGUAAUCUACAACAAAUUGUAACUCGGUGUCUUUGCAAACGGUGUCAUUGCUGGUAUAAUUUUUCCAAGGGCUUCUUGCAUGGAGCCAUCAAUUGGCUUGGUAUUAUGAUAUUUUAUAUCCUCCCCUUCUGCUUGUAGCAGAUUAUUUAUGGUGUUUGUGUAAAAAGCACUAUGGUCGUUAUUUAAAUUAAACAAAAGGAGGAAAUGUUAGGGUCUGUAAACAAGUCAGGAUAGUGCCUGGCAAAUGUUAAGAGUCUGUAUACAAGUCUGGAUGGCACCUGGCAUUUUGCCAGAGGGAGUGGUUUGUGAAGUAACGCCAGCGAGCCAUUAAGUGUGGAGAUUUCUUAUUGGUUGACUGCUGUAUCUAGUUUAUGUUAAUUAAGAUAGGCUCUGUGGAAUGUAUAAAUACCCCUCCUGUCCUACAAUAAAUGGCUCCCUCUCCUGCUGUAUCAAUCUACACAAA
Molecule: long non-coding RNA, 1083 nt
Organism: Marmota monax (woodchuck)
Lineage: Eukaryota; Metazoa; Chordata; Mammalia; Rodentia; Sciuridae
Exons: 4
Source: RefSeq, a predicted model, not a curated record